RNAcentral lists this long non-coding RNA (1012 nucleotides) under Piliocolobus tephrosceles (Ugandan red Colobus). Its description in RNAcentral is "lncRNA (ENSPTEG00000003168.1)". The record is from RNAcentral. Lineage: Eukaryota; Metazoa; Chordata; Mammalia; Primates; Cercopithecidae.
AUAUUAGUUAAUAUUCCUUAUGAUGGCUCUUUAUGUAUUGAGUCAUCCGACGUUAAAACUGUAAAAAAUGUAAAAGAACAAAUAUCUGAGUUAAAAGGUAAUUUAUAUUUUAUUACUUUUUUUUUUUUUUUUUUUUUUUAUGCUUUUUGUUUACGUUGUAAAAUAUGUUUUUAUCUUUAUUACAAAUAUAUGUAUUAGCUUUACAUAGUUUAUAAUUCACUAUUAUUUAUCCAUAUGUGAUAAGUGUUCAUUUUUAUGAUGAAUAUAUGAUCUUUGUAUAUAUAUAUAUAUAUAUAUAUGUUGAGCUUUGAAGGCUGUUUUGUUUGUUGUUUUUUUGUACCUGCAUAUAUGAAUUACAGGAUUAAUAAUCUUUAAAAUUCGGUAUGUGUUAUUAUAUUUUAUUCAUCUGAUUUCUUAUUUUUAAACCAUAGAUAUUCCAUGUGAGUUUCAAAAGUUAUACAAAUGUGGACGUCAAUUAGAAGAUGAUGAAUCAAUUCAAAGCGAUGAGUUUGAUUUUGUAAGUUUAUAUGAAAUAAAAAAAAAAUAAAAUAAAAACAAAUAAUAAUAAGAAUAUUAUAUUUGUAACAUUUAAAACGAAAUGAAUAAAUGAAAGAAAAAAUGCAAAUAUUAUGAAACUUGGUAUUAAAUAUAUAUAUGCAUAUGUACGAGUUGUGUAUAUUGCGUGAAUUAAUANNNNNNNNNNUUCAAGUAGUAAAUAUGAAAAUAUUAGUUAAUAUUCCUUAUGAUGGCUCUUUAUGUAUUGAGUCAUCCGACGUUAAAACUGUAAAAAAUGUAAAAGAACAAAUAUCUGAGUUAAAAGAUAUUCCAUGUGAGUUUCAAAAGUUAUACAAAUGUGGACGUCAAUUAGAAGAUGAUGAAUCAAUUCAAAGCGAUGAGUUUGAUUUUGUAAGUUUAUAUGAAAUAAAAAAAAAAUAAAAUAAAAACAAAUAAUAAUAAGAAUAUUAUAUUUGUAACAUUUAAAACGAAAUGAAUAAAUGAAAGAAAAAAUGCA